UACGUAGGGGGCAAGCGUUGUCCGGAUUAUUGGGCGUAAAGAGCGUGUAGGCGGCUUGGUAGGUCCGCUGUGAAAACUCGAGGCUCAACCUCGAGAUGUCGGCGGAAACCACUUGGCUAGAGUCCGGAAGAGGAGAGUGGAAUUCCUGGUGUAGCGGUGAAAUGCGCAGAUAUCAGGAAGAACACCUAUGGCGAAGGCAGCCUCUCGUGGGACGGUACUGACGCUGAGACGCGAAAGCGUGGGGAGCGAACAGG
This 254-nucleotide ribosomal RNA is filed under the name uncultured bacterium. RNAcentral's name for it is "partial 16S ribosomal RNA". It matches the Rfam family "Bacterial small subunit ribosomal RNA", at positions 524 to 776 of the family's 1533-position model. The record is from RNAcentral.